This is a long non-coding RNA of Humulus lupulus (European hop), 336 nucleotides long. RefSeq lists it as uncharacterized. NCBI's taxonomy places the organism in Eukaryota, Viridiplantae, Streptophyta, Magnoliopsida, Rosales, Cannabaceae. The record is from RefSeq and is a predicted model, not a curated record. The transcript has 3 exons.
UAUAUAUAUAUGUAUAUGUAUAUGUAUAUAUGGGUUUGAUCUUCGUCCUAGUUUAACUGCACCACUGGAAUCUCUAUCUCUAGCCACACCCAUACUGGACUAGUCGCUGAGAUUUUUUCUUUUCAAACAACUAUUAUGGCCUCUGUAACAUCAUCUCAGUCACAUGGCGGCAUCCAUAAGAAUUUCAAGCAAAUCACCCUUAACCGUAAUAAUAUAUAUAUGUAUAUAAUGUUGUUCUUAUAUAUGUUAUGAUUAUAUGUUUCACUGAUUUAUAUCCAACUCAGUGAUAUAAUAAUUGUUAGGGCUGUUGCAUGAAAUUCUAAGAACAGACACCAA